Molecule: unclassified non-coding RNA, 331 nt
Filed under: soil metagenome
Description: partial contains 5.8S ribosomal RNA, internal transcribed spacer 2, and large subunit ribosomal RNA
Rfam family: 5.8S ribosomal RNA (bases 1-120)
Source: RNAcentral
GAUGAAGAACGUAGCGAAAUGCGAUAAGUAAUGUGAAUUGCAGAAUUCAGUGAAUCAUCGAAUCUUUGAACGCACAUUGCGCCCCCUGGUAUUCCGGGGGGCAUGCCUGUUCGUGCGUCAUUUCACCACUCAAGCCUCGCUUGGUAUUGGGCAACGCGGUCCGCCGCGUGCCUCAAAUCGACCGGCUGGGUCUUCUGUCCCCUAAGCGUUGUGGAAACUAUUCGCUAAAGGGUGUUCGGGAGGCUACGCCGUAAAACAACCCCAUUUCUAAGGUUGACCUCGGAUCAGGUAGGGAUACCCGCUUAACUUAAGCAUAUCAAUAAGCGGAGGA